ACGCCGGGUAGCGUCAUUAAAUGUGCACAGGUGUUUUUAAUGUUUGUAAUGUGUUUGCUAUAAAUAUAAUGCCAAUGGAGAGGAACUUUACACUUCUGAUGAAGGACCAAACAGGUCAGAAACGCGUUAAGUGUUCUUACUCCAUGUGAUUAUUCUACGUGUACUUGGCGGUGAUUACGGUAACUACUCCCUGGAAGUGACCCCUCUAUAUCCGGAUUGAGAGAUCACUUUACCAGCCUAUCUUUCCAUCUGGGACUGGACCUGAGGGUGGUUGCUGUUCUUUGCCGAGUUGCAUGUCCUGUGGAUAUGUUUUUAUGCUGAUUAAAUUACGUUUGUUUGUAGUCACAUUUUUUCAGAUUUCCAACACUAUUCGGUAUACCAUCCUUGGUUGACGGCGACUCAUUGACUGCUAAGCUGUGUGCCUUAUGGGAAGUUAUGAGAUAUGCUGUUUGAAUUACAUCAGUUUGUAAGUGCAUUGAUUCAUUAAAAUCGUCCUUUAAAAGGGUUUUAUUGCACUAUCUUCUUUUUUGUAUGUGUCUAUCCCAAAACACAUAUUGUGUGGAGGGGGUCACGUUAUAUUUUAGGUUUCAAUCAAGGACGGUGAAAUAAAGAAAAAAACAAGUGUAUACUUCAAAGUCUUGCUCCUUUGGAAAUCUCUAGGGAAACUGAAUGCUACAGUAUGAACACACAAGCUUUUCAAUGUACCCGUGACACUAUCCUCAGAAAAGAAGCUGAAGACAGGGACCUAAAUACAGGGCUGUGGAGAGAUUGCGUGUGUCCCGGUAAAGUUGGAGGCGUGGCCUAAUCAUGGAUGUGUGACCAUGCCCCCUUUUAUAAAAACCCAUGAAUAAUAGUGUUUAUGUGCAGCAGAGGGGCAGAGCCAGGGAGGCAGAUCCAGGAGGGGUAGAUCCAGGAGUGCAUCAGCUCCUCUUCCUGGCAGUAUGGUGGCUAGUCCCGGGAUUGGUGGGAUCAGGGUCGGACUGUCCCACAGGGGUACCAGGGAAACCACCAGUAGGCCCCACUGCCUGAGUGCCCACUCCUUCCUCUAGCUAUCAGGUUCCAGACUGUGCACUUGUAUUAUACAUGGUAUAUAUGUUGCAUUACACUGCACUAGACUAUUGUGUAUUUCAAGCCUCUGUGGAUGCUGGCCACACCCUCUUUGUAGGCUGGCCACACCCUUACGUAUGGGCCCCUAACACUGCAUUCCCCCAGUGGGCCCUUCAUGCCCCAGUCCGACACUGGGUGGGAUCCAGGGAUUUCGAACAAAAAUUGUCCGGGAUUCAAUCCCGGGAUUGGAAGCUCGAAUCCCAGGGAUUUUGGGAUUGGCCAGCCCCUUUGUUCUUUCAAUGCCGUGCAUCUUCUCCUCACCCCUCUCGGCACCACUGCAAUAACAGACUUAAUAAUAGACUUUUUUUUUAUUUGGCUUUUUCAGUCAUGGCAUAUUUUACAACAGUGGUUCUCAACCUCAACCCUCAUUUGUUCCCAAUGGGUCAUGUUUUGAGGAUUUCUGUGUAUGGAAGGAGUCGAAAACCUGUUUCGCAGCAUUAUGCUCCGGAAUACAGGGGGUCAUUCUGACCUGAUCGUACGCUGCCGUUUUUCACAGGUCACUACUGCGCAUGUGUAUGCACCGCAAUGCGCAGGCGCAUCGUACUUGUACAAAGCGGAUCGUUGCUGGGCGAUGGUUUUAACGAAGAAUCCAUUCGCACAGCCGAUCGCAAGGAGAUUGACAGGAAGAAGGCAUUUAUGGGUGUCAACUGACCAUUUUCAGGGAGUGUUUGGAAAAACGCAGGCGUCACCAAGCGUUUGCAGAGCGGGUGUCUGCCGUCAAAUCCGGGAUCGGACAGGCUGAAGUGAUCGCAGUGGCUGAGUAAGUUCAGACCUACUCAGAAACUGCACAAACCGUUCUUGUACUGCUCGGCUGCACAAGCGUUCGCACACUUGCACAGCUAAAAUACGCUCCCCUGUGGGCGGCGACUAUGCGUUUGCAUGGCUGCAAAAAUUAGCUAGCGAGCGAUCAACUCGGAAUGACCCCCACAGUCUUGUUAUUUUCAUUCAAUUGUUUCACUCAUUGAUUAGUGGACAAUAAAAUAAAAUUCAUGAGAAAUAUAAUAAUAGUAGUUCUAUACUUACCUCUAGUGAUGUAGGAAUCU
Molecule: long non-coding RNA, 2150 nt
Organism: Pseudophryne corroboree (corroboree frog)
Lineage: Eukaryota; Metazoa; Chordata; Amphibia; Anura; Myobatrachidae
Exons: 3
Source: RefSeq, a predicted model, not a curated record